Molecule: ribosomal RNA, 795 nt
Filed under: Enterococcus faecium
Lineage: Bacteria; Bacillati; Bacillota; Bacilli; Lactobacillales; Enterococcaceae
Description: bacterial SSU rRNA
Rfam family: Bacterial small subunit ribosomal RNA
Source: RNAcentral
CUCAGGACGAACGCUGGCGGCGUGCCUAAUACAUGCAAGUCGAACGCUUCUUUUUCCACCGGAGCUUGCUCCACCGGAAAAAGAAGAGUGGCGAACGGGUGAGUAACACGUGGGUAACCUGCCCAUCAGAAGGGGAUAACACUUGGAAACAGGUGCUAAUACCGUAUAACAAUCRAAACCGCAUGGUUUUGAUUUGAAAGGCGCUUUCGGGUGUCGCUGAUGGAUGGACCCGCGGUGCAUUAGCUAGUUGGUGAGGUAACGGCUCACCAAGGCCACGAUGCAUAGCCGACCUGAGAGGGUGAUCGGCCACAUUGGGACUGAGACACGGCCCAAACUCCUACGGGAGGCAGCAGUAGGGAAUCUUCGGCAAUGGACGAAAGUCUGACCGAGCAACGCCGCGUGAGUGAAGAAGGUUUUCGGAUCGUAAAACUCUGUUGUUAGAGAAGAACAAGGAUGAGAGUAACUGUUCAUCCCUUGACGGUAUCUAACCAGAAAGCCACGGCUAACUACGUGCCAGCAGCCGCGGUAAUACGUAGGUGGCAAGCGUUGUCCGGAUUUAUUGGGCGUAAAGCGAGCGCAGGCGGUUUCUUAAGUCUGAUGUGAAAGCCCCCGGCUCAACCGGGGAGGGUCAUUGGAAACUGGGAGACUUGAGUGCAGAAGAGGAGAGUGGAAUUCCAUGUGUAGCGGUGAAAUGCGUAGAUAUAUGGAGGAACACCAGUGGCGAAGGCGGCUCUCUGGUCUGUAACUGACGCUGAGGCUCGAAAGCGUGGGGAGCAAACAGGAUUAGAUACCCUG